CAGCCAUGUGGUGAACACAAAGCGAACUUUUCUUUCGCCUUUUACUAAAGAAUACCGUGUGUUCUCCAUGCUCAAGUGGCAUACGCCUAUUUUUGGAGGGUCUUGCUUUCGAGUGAGCCC
Raphanus sativus (radish) is the source of this 120-nucleotide small nuclear RNA. RefSeq annotates it as U5 spliceosomal RNA. Lineage: Eukaryota; Viridiplantae; Streptophyta; Magnoliopsida; Brassicales; Brassicaceae. The record is from RefSeq and is a predicted model, not a curated record. The transcript has a single exon.